UAGAGUUUGUGUUCAGAAAAAUUCGAAACAUUCAAAAUUUGGGCAAUGUUUACCUCAGAGGGCCCUCUAUUGUUAUGCGCAGAACCGAUGCGCAGAACGGACUUGACUUCCCCUUUAAAGAUUACCCUGAUUUUCAUCGCCGUCAUGUCUAACUAUGAAACAGAUUCGGAAGACAGUUAUCAGUCUGAUGACUCGGAUAUAAACUUCAUUCCGGGAUAUAUAAUGGAAAACUCUGAACUUGUAAAAAAUUCGGACGAUGAUUCCAGCGUUGAGGAAUUGAACAUGGGUCUAGCUUACGCCGAUGAACCUUUG
This is a non-coding RNA of Paramuricea clavata, 312 nucleotides long. The record is from the annotation of a GenBank genome assembly. NCBI's taxonomy places the organism in Eukaryota, Metazoa, Cnidaria, Anthozoa, Malacalcyonacea, Plexauridae.